UGUAAUUAUAAUUAAAGACACCUAAUCAACAAAUCAUCAAAUGAAAUAUGUACAUACAUAUGUAUGCACUACGUAAUUAUGAAACAAACAAGUACCAAGGGGGCAGGGUAAGAAAUUAUGUAUCUUCAAAUUUAUGUAAGUCGGGGUAUUACUAUAAUUUUUCUAAAUCUUAUCUUAGUUCAAAGUGUACCAUUAACAAUUUUUUGACAUUUUAUUACAUUAUUCAUAUAAUAUCAAUACUAGUGAUUAGAAUACUAUAAAAUUUAAUGAUUCCUCUUUGAUAAAUAUCACAAAAUUUUUCAGUGUAAUCAUUACUUUAUAUGAUGUAAUACUCCAAUUAGGAUUAAAAAAAAAGGACUUUUCCUUCAUAGUAAUCAUUAUUUUUAUCAAAUAUGAAUUGUUUUUGACAUAUCAAAAUUAGUAGAUUAUAAAAAAAAUAAUGAUGAUCAUAAUUUACUUAUAUAUGAUAAUAAAAC
RNAcentral lists this long non-coding RNA (476 nucleotides) under Androctonus crassicauda. Lineage: Eukaryota; Metazoa; Arthropoda; Arachnida; Scorpiones; Buthidae. The record is from RNAcentral.